Molecule: ribosomal RNA, 585 nt
Filed under: uncultured bacterium
Lineage: Bacteria
Description: bacterial SSU rRNA
Rfam family: Bacterial small subunit ribosomal RNA
Source: RNAcentral
CGGUGCAUUAGCUAGUUGGUGAGGUAACGGCUCACCAAGGCGACGAUGCAUAGCCGACCUGAGAGGGUGAUCGGCCACAUUGGGACUGAGACACGGCCCAAACUCCUACGGGAGGCAGCAGUAGGGAAUCUUCGGCAAUGGACGAAAGUCUGACCGAGCAACGCCGCGUGAGUGAAGAAGGUUUUCGGAUCGUAAAACUCUGUUGUUAGAGAAGAACAAGGAUGAGAGUAACUGUUCAUCCCUUGACGGUAUCUAACCAGAAAGCCACGGCUAACUACGUGCCAGCAGCCGCGGUAAUACGUAGGUGGCAAGCGUUGUCCGGAUUUAUUGGGCGUAAAGCGAGCGCAGGCGGUUUCUUAAGUCUGAUGUGAAAGCCCCCGGCUCAACCGGGGAGGGUCAUUGGAAACUGGGAGACUUGAGUGCAGAAGAGGAGAGUGGAAUUCCAUGUGUAGCGGUGAAAUGCGUAGAUAUAUGGAGGAACACCAGUGGCGAAGGCGGCUCUCUGGUCUGUAACUGACGCUGAGGCUCGAAAGCGUGGGGAGCAAACAGGAUUAGAUACCCUGGUAGUCCACGCCGUAAACGAUG